Long non-coding RNA from Leucoraja erinaceus (little skate), 949 nucleotides. RefSeq lists it as uncharacterized. The record is from RefSeq and is a predicted model, not a curated record. The transcript is spliced from 4 exons. Lineage: Eukaryota; Metazoa; Chordata; Chondrichthyes; Rajiformes; Rajidae.
UGCUGCUCCGGGCACACGCCACAUCCCCGACUGACAGCGCCGUUCGCCUAUCACACGAGCGCCGCCCCUCAGACCAGCCAAUCCGUGCAGGUAGAGAGGGUGGGGGCGGGACUUCCGGCGCGGGUUGCCCGCCCACAGCCUCAGCCGGGCUGUCUUGUGAGGCGUUCAAUCAUCCUUCCUGUUUGAGAAGAUUGUUAUAAAAGAAGAGAAAAAAAACCUAAUCCACGGGACUCACUCGGGUCAAUUCACUCAACAGAAUCCGAACUGCUCCGAAAAUCCCGCACACGCAGUUGCCGGGUCACUUUUAAAGCUGCUCAAAGUUUCUCGCCCUCCCGUAAUGUUUACCAGCGCAGCAAUCCGGGCGGUGACAGCGCCGCUGACGUCACGCGGCGUGACCACCUCGCGCCACUCUUACGCGCCGUGACGUCAGGGCGAGCGACCGACCGAAGGAGGAGCCGCGGGGCUGACGUCACCGGCGGCGCGCGACGGCAGUCGCCGUUGGUCGCGAGGACGCGGCGCCAAAGUUCAAACUUUGGUUCAACAAACGGCCGCGAGGAGCCGCUGGUCGUGAGGCAAUCGCCAGCUACCGGCCUCGAGCUAUGCUGCUGCACCCGCUGAGUUUCUCCAGCUUUUCUGUGUAACCUUCGAUUCUCCAGCAUCUGCAGUUCCCUCUUAAAAACGAGAAAGUUGCAAAACUUACUUGAACAUGAAGCUUAGUGCACAGCGAUCUUCAGAAUGCAGCGGUCUUCAGAGUACGGGCUUUGUUAACUGUGUGGACGAUCUGUAUUCCACAUUCUCAUACCAUGCCUGACUUCACAGAUGAAAGCAUCACGGUGUACAGAGUAUCCUCUAAAAGCAAAAUAAAACAAAAACAAGCAAGCCAUAACUUCUGCAAAGGUCAAAACUUACUGAGCCUUUACUGCUCUUUCAGUCAUGUUUGAAAGAACUU